This 358-nucleotide transfer-messenger RNA is filed under the name Candidatus Staskawiczbacteria bacterium RIFCSPHIGHO2_01_FULL_41_41. It matches the Rfam family "transfer-messenger RNA". Rfam says of the family: Bacterial tmRNA, also known as 10Sa RNA or SsrA, is named for its dual tRNA and mRNA-like properties. Its role is to liberate the mRNA from a stalled ribosome. To accomplish this part of the tmRNA is used as a reading frame that ends in a translation stop signal. The record is from RNAcentral. RNAcentral also lists the same sequence under 3 other names. Lineage: Bacteria; Candidatus Staskawicziibacteriota.
GGGGAUGCAAGAUUCGAUGAUUUGUUCUUUAAAACAAUGCAAGUCCAGUAUUCUAGAAUCUGGUAAAACUUCUAGAAAAAACAUAUUUGCCAACUUUAACUUCGGUUUUAACCGGCAACUAGCUCCCGCUUUCGCGUAAGCUACAUCGCCCCAUCAACUCCUGAUAGGUGGCCAGCGGUGUUAUACAUCAGGAUAGAUAAUUAUUUUAGCUUUAGGAUAAUUAUUGAAACUAAUAAAGAUCGGGCAUUAGAAUUUCGCACAUCUUUUAUCUAAUGCCUUAAACCAAAGAUACGCUACACUUGUAGAUUUGUUUUUUAAGAGCUUUUCAGACGAGGAUUCAAACCCUCCAUCUCCACUU